Molecule: ribosomal RNA, 684 nt
Filed under: Triticum aestivum (bread wheat)
Lineage: Eukaryota; Viridiplantae; Streptophyta; Magnoliopsida; Poales; Poaceae
Description: partial small subunit ribosomal RNA
Source: RNAcentral
AUGGCUGCCAUGCACGAGAGCACUCCGGCGCUCCUUGUGCUCUUCCUGUCGCUGAUGCUCCUUUCCACGCCCUCUUCCGCGCGCCACAUGACUGGUGAUCCAGCACCGGUUAUCCUGCCCCCGCCGGACAUGCCCGGCGACCCAUUACCGGUUAUUCCAUCCCCGCCGCCCCACAUGGCUCCUCCAACAAAGGAGGGAGGGUGGGAAGGCAUUAUGAUGGCACCGAGGCCCGUUCCUUCUGGACCAGACCCUAUACACCAUCGUCCUCCCACCCCGGCUCCCCACAAGCCCCCUCCAUCAACGGAGGAGGCGAGGGAAGGUGUGAUGGUGGCACCGAGGCCGGUUCCUUCUGGUCCGAACCCUAUACAUCACUUUCCCGCCCCGGCGCCACAACCCCACCAUCAUUACCGAUGUCAUGCCCCACCGCCUGCAUCAACAGAGGAGGCGAGGGAAGGCGAUGUCAUGGCGCCGAGGCCGGUUCCUUCUGGAUCGAACUUCAUACAUAAUCAACCCACUCUAGCGCUGCAACCCAACCAUCAUCGCCGAUGCAAGGCCCCACCGCCGGCAUCGAUGGAGGAGGCCAGGGAAGGCGACAACAUGUCACCAUGGAGGCCACUUCCUGUUUCCGGACCGAACCCAAACCACAACCACCACGCAAAGGCACCGGCUCCUCCUCAUGAGUAA